Molecule: ribosomal RNA, 1359 nt
Filed under: uncultured bacterium
Lineage: Bacteria
Description: bacterial SSU rRNA
Rfam family: Bacterial small subunit ribosomal RNA
Source: RNAcentral
AUUGAACGCUGGCGGCAGGCUUAACACAUGCAAGUCGAGCGGAGAGAGGUAGCUUGCUACUGAUCUUAGCGGCGGACGGGUGAGUAAUGCUUAGGAAUCUGCCUAUUAGUGGGGGACAACAUUUCGAAAGGAAUGCUAAUACCGCAUACGUCCUACGGGAGAAAGCAGGGGAUCUUCGGACCUUGCGCUAAUAGAUGAGCCUAAGUCGGAUUAGCUAGUUGGUGGGGUAAAGGCCUACCAAGGCGACGAUCUGUAGCGGGUCUGAGAGGAUGAUCCGCCACACUGGGACUGAGACACGGCCCAGACUCCUCCGGGAGGCAGCAGUGGGGAAUAUUGGACAAUGGGCGCAAGCCUGAUCCAGCCAUGCCGCGUGUGUGAAGAAGGCCUUAUGGUUGUAAAGCACUUUAAGCGAGGAGGAGGCUACUUUAGUUAAUACCUAGAGAUAGUGGACGUUACUCGCAGAAUAAGCACCGGCUAACUCUGUGCCAGCAGCCGCGGUAAUACAGAGGGUGCAAGCGUUAAUCGGAUUUACUGGGCGUAAAGCGCGCGUAGGCGGCUAAUUAAGUCAAAUGUGAAAUCCCCGAGCUUAACUUGGGAAUUGCAUUCGAUACUGGUUAGCUAGAGUGUGGGAGAGGAUGGUAGAAUUCCAGGUGUAGCGGUGAAAUGCGUAGAGAUCUGGAGGAAUACCGAUGGCGAAGGCAGCCAUCUGGCCUAACACUGACGCUGAGGUGCGAAAGCAUGGGGAGCAAACAGGAUUAGAUACCCUGGUAGUCCAUGCCGUAAACGAUGUCUACUAGCCGUUGGGGCCUUUGAGGCUUUAGUGGCGCAGCUAACGCGAUAAGUAGACCGCCUGGGGAGUACGGUCGCAAGACUAAAACUCAAAUGAAUUGACGGGGGCCCGCACAAGCGGUGGAGCAUGUGGUUUAAUUCGAUGCAACGCGAAGAACCUUACCUGGCCUUGACAUAGUAAGAACUUUCCAGAGAUGGAUUGGUGCCUUCGGGAACUUACAUACAGGUGCUGCAUGGCUGUCGUCAGCUCGUGUCGUGAGAUGUUGGGUUAAGUCCCGCAACGAGCGCAACCCUUUUCCUUAUUUGCCAGCGAGUAAUGUCGGGAACUUUAAGGAUACUGCCAGUGACAAACUGGAGGAAGGCGGGGACGACGUCAAGUCAUCAUGGCCCUUACGGCCAGGGCUACACACGUGCUACAAUGGUCGGUACAAAGGGUUGCUACCUAGCGAUAGGAUGCUAAUCUCAAAAAGCCGAUCGUAGUCCGGAUUGGAGUCUGCAACUCGACUCCAUGAAGUCGGAAUCGCUAGUAAUCGCGGAUCAGAAUGCCGCGGUGAAUACGUUCCCGGGCCU